AUUACAGAGCAGUGCAUACGUUUAAAACUUGUGUAAAACAGAGAAAGUCUCAAUGUCCAGAUUCCAAAAGAGUUACAAAGGCAGAGGUGAUGAUAAACAAAUAUGAAUUAUUAUGUGGUGGAUGUGAUGCUCGUAAAUUGAUGACAUGUGUACAUAUGCUUGGAAAUUUGGUAACAGAGGAUUUUGAAGGAUAUUUUUCUUCUUCUUCUCAGCUUAUUAAUACAGUUUGUCCAAAUUUCAAAAGUUUUAAGGAUUGUGUAUCUCCAAUCAAAACUAAGUGUGACGCUAUUAAUAUGGCUCAAGCACAGCAAAUCAGCAAGAGCAUUGAGCCAGUUCUUAGUUUGAUCGACUUGAUGUGUGGCGCUGAAUUUAAA
This is a long non-coding RNA of Mytilus californianus (California mussel), 374 nucleotides long. RefSeq lists it as uncharacterized. The record is from RefSeq and is a predicted model, not a curated record. The transcript has 3 exons. Lineage: Eukaryota; Metazoa; Mollusca; Bivalvia; Mytilida; Mytilidae.